GUCGAACGCUUCUUUCCUCCCGAGUGCUUGCACUCAAUUGGAAAGAGGAGUGGCGGACGGGUGAGUAACACGUGGGUAACCUACCCAUCAGAGGGGGAUAACACUUGGAAACAGGUGCUAAUACCGCAUAACAGUUUAUGCCGCAUGGCAUAAGAGUGAAAGGCGCUUUCGGGUGUCGUUGAUGGAUGGACCCGCGGUGCAUUAGCUAGUUGGUGAGGUAACGGCUCACCAAGGCCACGAUGCAUAGCCGACCUGAGAGGGUGAUCGGCCACACUGGGACUGAGACACGGCCCAGACUCCUACGGGAGGCAGCAGUAGGGAAUCUUCGGCAAUGGACGAAAGUCUGACCGAGCAACGCCGCGUGAGUGAAGAAGGUUUUCGGAUCGUAAAACUCUGUUGUUAGAGAAGAACAAGGACGUUAGUAACUGAACGUCCCCUGACGGUAUCUAACCAGAAAGCCACGGCUAACUACGUGCCAGCAGCCGCGGUAAUACGUAGGUGGCAAGCGUUGUCCGGAUUUAUUGGGCGUAAAGCGAGCGCAGGCGGUUUCUUAAGUCUGAUGUGAAAGCCCCCGGCUCAACCGGGGAGGGUCAUUGGAAACUGGGAGACUUGAGUGCAGAAGAGGAGAGUGGAAUUCCAUGUGUAGCGGUGAAAUGCGUAGAUAUAUGGAGGAACACCAGUGGCGAAGGC
Molecule: ribosomal RNA, 690 nt
Filed under: uncultured Bacilli bacterium
Lineage: Bacteria; Bacillati; Bacillota; Bacilli
Description: bacterial SSU rRNA
Rfam family: Bacterial small subunit ribosomal RNA
Source: RNAcentral